GUGUUGGAAUUGGUGAUGUUGUUUUGUGGAAUUGAAUUAUUGUGCCUCUUAUCUGUAAAGUUAUUCUCUUGAAUACUUUUAGGCAUGAUUAUAAGUUCUUCUGUGGCAAAUCUUGUCAUCAUCAACACUCACUGACUGUGUGGCAAAUCUUGUCAUCAUCAAUACUCACUGACUGUGUCUUUACAGAUGUCUCGCGGCACUCGAGGUGCGGAAAAUCGUGCGAACAUGAAUCCACCCCCUCCUCCUCCACCACCGAAUCCAGCUGAGCUGAUGCAAAUGAUGGUGGAAAGUCAGAGGCUGCUCACUGAGACCAUUAAUCAGAUGGCAAACUAGGGUGGUCGGAAUGCACAACAUGCGCCAGCGCCUAAUCAGUACAGC
This 378-nucleotide long non-coding RNA is filed under the name Sorghum bicolor (sorghum). RNAcentral's name for it is "long non-coding RNA (SBIC_LNC012922)". The record is from RNAcentral. Lineage: Eukaryota; Viridiplantae; Streptophyta; Magnoliopsida; Poales; Poaceae.